This 518-nucleotide ribosomal RNA is filed under the name uncultured bacterium. Its description in RNAcentral is "bacterial SSU rRNA". It matches the Rfam family "Archaeal small subunit ribosomal RNA", at positions 345 to 866 of the family's 1478-position model. The record is from RNAcentral.
AAACUUCACAAUGGGCGAAAGCCCGAUGAGGGAAUUCCUAGUGCUAGCACAUUUGUGUUAGCUUUUCCUUAGCGUAGAUAACUAGGGGAAUAAGGGCUGGGUAAGACGGGUGCCAGCCGCCGCGGUAAUACCCGCAGCCCGAGUGGUGGUCGAUUUUAUUGAGUCUAAAACGUUCGUAGCCGGUCUGAUAAAUCCCUGGGUAAUCGGGUGGCUUAACCAUCCGAAUUCCGGGGAGACUGUCAGACUUGGGAUCGGGAGAGGUAUGAGGUACUUCAGGGGUAGGGGUAAAAUCCUGUAAUCCUUGGAGGACCACCGGUGGCGAAGGCGUCAUACUAGAACGAAUCCGACGGUGAGGGACGAAGCCCUAGGUCGCAAACGGGAUUAGAUACCCCGGUAGUCUAGGGUGUAAACGCUGCAGACUAGGUGUUGGAGGCCCUACGGGGGCACCCGAGUGCCCGAGAGAAGUUGUUAAGUCUGCUACUUGGGAGUACGUCCGCAAGGAUGAACUUAAGGAAGUU